RNAcentral lists this transfer RNA (75 nucleotides) under Pterocladiophila hemisphaerica. RNAcentral's name for it is "tRNA-Arg". It matches the Rfam family "tRNA". Rfam says of the family: Transfer RNA (tRNA) molecules are approximately 80 nucleotides in length. Their secondary structure includes four short double-helical elements and three loops (D, anti-codon, and T loops). The record is from RNAcentral. Lineage: Eukaryota; Rhodophyta; Florideophyceae; Gracilariales; Pterocladiophilaceae.
AGGUUAGUAGCUUAAUGGAUUAAGAGCACAUAGCUACGAACUAUGAGGUUGAGCGUUCGAAUCUCUCCUAGCCUA